RNAcentral lists this ribosomal RNA (243 nucleotides) under uncultured bacterium. RNAcentral describes it as "partial 16S ribosomal RNA". It matches the Rfam family "Bacterial small subunit ribosomal RNA", at positions 244 to 504 of the family's 1533-position model. The record is from RNAcentral.
GCUGGUUGGCGGGGUAAUGGCCCACCAAGGCAACGAUCGGUAGCCGGACUGAGAGGUUGAACGGCCACAUUGGGACUGAGACACGGCCCAGACUCCUACGGGAGGCAGCAGUGGGGAAUAUUGCACAAUGGGGGAAACCCUGAUGCAGCGACGCCGCGUGAGGGAAGACGGUCUUCGGAUUGUAAACCUCUGUCUUUGGGGAAGAAAAUGACGGUACCGUACAAGAAAGCCACGGCUAACUAC